Molecule: microRNA, 22 nt
Filed under: Asparagus officinalis (garden asparagus)
Lineage: Eukaryota; Viridiplantae; Streptophyta; Magnoliopsida; Asparagales; Asparagaceae
Description: aof-miR2118c
Source: miRBase by way of RNAcentral
UUUCCGAUGCCACCCAAUCCUU